RNAcentral lists this ribosomal RNA (1408 nucleotides) under uncultured bacterium. Its description in RNAcentral is "bacterial SSU rRNA". It matches the Rfam family "Bacterial small subunit ribosomal RNA". The record is from RNAcentral.
AGAGUUUGAUCCUGGCUCAGAACGAAUUCUGGUAGCGUGGAUUAGGUAUGCAAGUCGAACGGGAUCCGGCCGGUAGCAAUAUUGGCUGGUGAGAGUGGCGGAUUGGGGAGGAACACGUGAGCAACCUGCCCUUGAGUUCGGGAAAACCGUUGGAAACGGCGGCUAAUACCGGAUGUGGCGCCCCGUGACAUCACGGGAGCGCUAAAGGGGACAAAAGCUCCCGCUCAUCGAGGGGCUCGCGCAUCAUCAGCUUGUUGGCGGGGUAACGGCCCACCAAGGCAUACGAUUAGCUGGUCUGAGAGGAUGACCAGCCCCACUGGGACUGAGAUACUGCCCAGACUCCUACGGGAGGCUGCAGUCGAGGAUCAUUUGCAAUGGGCGAAAGCCUGACAAUGCGACGCUGCGUGGAGGAUGAAGGCCUUCGGGUUGUAAACUCCUGUCAUAGGGGAACAGGCGAACGGACCCAAUACGUCCGCGAGUUGAGUGUACCCUAAGAGGAAUUGGCGGCUAACUCUGUGCCAGCAGCCGCGGUAAUACAGAGGCCAAGAGCGUUGUUCGGAUUUACUGGGCGUAAAGGGCGCGUAGGCGGCGCCGUGUGUCGGAUGUGAAAUCUCCGGGCUCAACCCGGAAAGUGCGUCCGAAACUGCGGUGCUCGAGUCCGGGAGAGGGAAUCGGAAUAUAGGGUGUAGCGGUGAAAUGCGUUGAUAUCCUAUAGAACACCGGAGGCGAAGGCGGAUUCCUGGAACGGUACUGACGCUGAGGCGCGAAAGUCGGGGGAGCAAACAGGAUUAGAUACCCUGGUAGUCCCGACCUUAAACGGUGCACACUCGGGGUGGGGCCCUUCACCGGUCCCGUCUCUUAGCUAACGCGAUAAGUGUGCCGCCUGGGGAGUACGGCCGCAAGGCUAAAACUCAAAGAAAUUGACGGGGGCCCGCACAAGCAGAGGAGCAUGUGGCUUAAUUCGAUGCAACGCGAAGAACCUUACCUGGAUUUGACAUCGUGGGCAAUGCAUUAUGAAAGUAGUGCGGAGGUUAUCCCAUAGACAGGUGCUGCAUGGCUGUCGUCAGUUCGUGCCGUGAGGUGUUUGGUUAAGUCCACCAACGAACGCAACCCCUAUCGGAUGUUGCCAUCAGGUAACGCUGGGAACUCGUCCGUGACUGCUCGUUUACGCGAGAGGAAGGUGGGGAUGACGUCAAGUCAGUAUGGCCCUUACAUCCAGGGCUGCACACGUGCUACAAUGGCCGGUACAGAGGGAAGCGAAACCGCAAGGCGGAGCCAAUCCCAGAGAGCCGGCCUCAGUUCAGAUCGGGGUCUGCAACCCGACCCCAUGAAGUUGGAUUUGCUAGUAGCGGCGCAUCAGCUACGACGCCGUGAAUGCGUUCCCGGACCUUGCACUCACCGCCGGUCA